Molecule: non-coding RNA, 4678 nt
Organism: Dermacentor albipictus
Lineage: Eukaryota; Metazoa; Arthropoda; Arachnida; Ixodida; Ixodidae
Source: RefSeq, a predicted model, not a curated record
UUUGUGAAAAUUUGUCAUAUCUGACCUAUGUAUUGUAAAUGCGUUUCUGGUAAUGAACUUGACACUUGACUUCUGCUUUCACUUCUGGUUUCAUGCUGGUUGCGCUGCACUGUCUGCCGCUAUCCUUCUCCGUUUUGUAGGUGUUGUGGAAUGUGUCGCGAUUUGCUGUCUUGAAAAGUUUCUUUAAGAAGAGUUUCCGCGUCUCAUGACAGCAAGAAGUUCCCUAUGCCGUAGUGUUUUGCCCCCAGCUGCACCAGCGGCCUGAGACAGGAUGCCGCUGGUCGCCAUUUUUUCGCACCGCCACAAGAUGCUGGGGAGUUCAAAAGUUGGGAACGCAUGCUACACCGAAACGGUAAACGCCUCACAAACAAAUCAAAAGUCUGUGAACGCCACUUCGAGGACGACGACAUUUUGAAAUACUACAAGCAUGUUGUGGGUGACAAAGAAAUAUUGAUUCCUCGCGGGAAAUGGAUGCUUGUUCCCGGCGCACUUCGUCGGCUCUUUCCUGGGCUGCCUGAGCAUAUCUCAAAGCCAAAAAAUGUGAAGCGAAAACGACGCCCACCAAAAGAACGAGCGCAAGUGCCGGCAAGUACAUCGGGCGAAGCUUGACAGCACUUCAACUUCAAACCUGCUGUUGGGCUUGGAAGAAAGGAACUCCAAAAAUAUGCGCAACCCACUUUGUGCUCAACGAGCUCACGAACGUGGCACUGCCUUCUGCGCUCUGGAAGUUAGAAAUUGUUUAGGACGACGCAACACAGAAGCGAUGUGGAGUAUUUUAUGAGCCAACUGGUAGCCGGGCAUCUGCGAGUAAUGAAUACUGUUGUGCUUGAAGAUGAUGGUACUUGCUGCAUAAACGGCUACAGCAAAAUUCACAAGAGGCUAUUUCGAGCUGCGGCCAGCAUUGCAAGUGUGGAAAUAAACCUGAGAGAAGCAGACAGCUUGAACAUAUGCGCGGGCAUGAAAGCAGGCCAGCGGGACACCGGCGACAUCAGAUAACAUACACCACAAGCAGUGCAAUGUAUGUACUUUCAAAGCAACUAGUCUGCGCGCGUUGUCUCCGUCUACAGAGGAAACUUCGACUGAGCAUUAAAACUCCGAGCGCAACGCUCAAGCGAUAUCAGAAACUACGCAAUGUGAAGAAAAGGCUGCUAGGGCGACUGCUGCGCAUCAAAAGCAAAAGAAGGAAAUUUUGGCUCUGAAGAGAAGGCUUUCAGAAAUGCCCGAUAACAGAAUCGAGGAAACGUUGGCCGAACUUCUGCCUUUACAGCGACUUGCAUUUAUGACAUCGUUUAAACAGUUGAAUGCAAAGUAUCCGUGUGGCACGCGGUACAAUGGGCACUGGCUUCUGAAAUGUUUAAUGCUAAGAAUAGCGAGCCCUCGAGCAUAUAAGCUUCUAUCUGACAUGAACAUGCUGGCCUUGCCCUCCCUGAGCCGUCUCACACAAAUUCUGAAAGGAAUACCAUGCAUGUAUGGUUUCAAUCCUCUCUGUAUGGAAGCUAUUGGAAAACAGCUGGGCAAGAGAGCAGAUGGGAAGAAGUUCGGCACACUGAUUUUGGAUGAAAUUAAGUUACGUCAGGCGUACGAUUUCAACAAGUCAACCUUCAAACUUGGUUUUGUGGGCUACGGUGGCAUUUCAAAUGAAGGAACGGACUAACUUGCAGAUCAUGCGCUCGUGCUGAUGUUUGUACCACUUCUGGAGAGCUGGGUGCAACCAACUGCCAUCUUUGCCACGAAAGGUGCGGCGCCUGGUAGGAUUUUAGCAGAGCUGGUGUUGCAAGCAGUAAUUCAAUUGCAUUAACAUGGUGCUAUGGGGAUUGCCGUAGUCAAUGACGGGGCUGGGAACAAUCACUCGAUGUGGCAGCAGAUGGGAAACGGCGGCAGCUUAACCUCACCUUCUCACAAGAUUCCACAUCCAUGCCUGCCUGAGCGCGCGUACCUGUGUGAUGUGCCACAUGCCCUGAAGUGUGUACGCAACCAUUUGCUCAAGCACAAAUAUGGACAGGCUGGAGAUUACCGCAUAAACUUUGCCCACCAUCAACUCCUCUAAUUAAGAGUGCGAAAGAAAGCAUAAUCUCAAAGUCGUCCCCAAGCUCUCAGCAGCGCACGUAAACCCAACAAACUUGCAGAGAAUGAACGUGUGACUCGUUGCACAGCUGUUCAGCUUAGUACUGCUAUUGGAUCGCAGUUAUACAGGGCAGAAAGCGUUGAAGGCCUCCAAGGGAACAGAAGCGUUUACAACGACAAUGAAUGACGUCUUUGACGCACUCAACACAAAAAAUCCUGCAGAAGAAAUACGAAAGGGCUCACCGAAGAGUACGCUUCAAGCCAGUGUACAUGUGUCCAACUCGGUGUAAUAAUAUUUAAUGGAAGCCCUACAGUUUAGUGCAAACUACACAUUCAUUUAUUUGCGCAGAUAAUCAAGAAGUUUCUCGACCUGCUCAACAUCACGGAACACAACUGCCACCACCGAAACAUGCUUGUUUGCUUCGAGACAGACAAUCGAAGCUUUGCGUGUUACGCUUCGGUACUCGACAUAAUUGACGAGCUCCACAAAGCUGGUGUCCUCUACAACUGACAGUGAAGCCCAACCAAGAUCCCCAAGAGGUAAUGCGCAAAUGCUUGUUGAAUUUUUAAUGCAUGCACACACCGCAAAUGCAGUUUGUUUUAUCGUGAUUACUUAUAUUACUGCACGCCAUAGGAGGCCUCCAAGGGAACAGAAGCGUUUACAACAACAAUGAAUGACGUCUUUGACGCACUCAACACAAAAAAUCCUGCAGAAGAAAUACGAAAGGGCUCACCGAAGAGUACGCUUCAAGCCAGUGUACAUGUGUCCAACUCGGUGUAAUAAUAUUUAAUGGAAGCCCUACAGUUUAGUGCAAACUACACAUUCAUUUAUUUGCGCAGAUAAUCAAGAAGUUUCUCAACCUGCUCAACAUCACGGAACACAACUACCACCACCGAAACAUGCUUGUUUGCUUCGAGACAGACAAUCGAAGCUUUGCGUGUUACGCUUCGGUACUCAACAUAAUUGACGAGCUCCACAAAGCUGGUGUCCUCUACAACUGACAGUGAAGCCCAACCAAGAUCCCCAAGAGAAAAUUUUUGGUGUUGUCCGUUCACUCCAUGGCGACAAUGACCACCCAUCCGUAGUUCAAUUCCGACAGAUUUGUAGAUUGUUGUCUUUGUUCACACCUGUGAAAAAUGCAGUGAGAGGAAAUUGCUCUGGCGCUCCCAAUGGUGUUCUGGUGUCUCCUCACAACAGCCUGGGGCAAAAGGAAAAGGCUGCUGCUGAGCUGAAAGGUGCAGUUGAAGCAAAGCUAUACAAGAAGCUGUGUAGGAUGAGUCUUUCAGUAGGCCACAUGGAUAACUUGGGCGACCACGGGUACCAGAAAGCAGGAACACAAGAAAUGGUUGUCUACUACCUGGCUGGAUAUACACUGAAGAAAGUGCUUCCGAGCCACCAAGUGCGCGUGACCCACGACCCUCGCAUAGCCUUUUGACAGAGCCGAGGUCAUUCAAGUCGGGGUGCUUACGUGAAGUCUUUCAGAAUGUUCACCGUCGUCAAACACAUAUAAGUAAUUCGUCAAACACUCGACAGCAACGCAGUUUUUGGCGACUUAUUUUGCGAGCAUUCUGGACGGGCUAGAUAAAGCAUUAGGAUGCCAUAAUCAUUAUGAGGAAGGAGGUGACUGCUAAUGUCAUCAAGUUCUAUCUUGUCAUGCGCAUGCACUUUUCCAAAAGAAUGAAGUGAGGCAUCACUGACAGAGCAGGUGCAAGCAGCCAGAAAGAGGGCAAAAUUACUGAGCAAAAGUUGCUCAAAAUUACUUUUUUAUGCACAAAGUAAAUAAAAAGUGUCACUGUUUUGUUCGUCAAAAAGAAAAUGAAUUAAGCUUUGACCUAAAUAUGUUCAUAGUAUUUAACUUCGGCCUUGCCACUGCUUGCAGAUCACUUCCAACGCAUUCACACGUCCCAUAAUAUCCGCGGACAAAUAUAAAAAAUACAGGUGUCAAUUAAAUUAGGCGAAGCGUUGACGGGGGUGGAUCAAUUCACCACAGCGGUGUCUCGAGCGACUGCUGGGCGUGAUGCGUUGAUGUCGCUACGUCUGCACAGGCGCUCGCCGUCUCUAAUUACUACACAUCGUAAGCAGCAAAAAAAAGCCCCCGCUGAAGGGAGCACCGUGGCGCUUUUAUAGGGAAAAAGUUGGUUGAAAAGCGGAAUCGCAUUGCACGAUCGCUCAUUUGCGGUGUAGUUGCAGCCUCUAAACACUAGCUAGACAUAUCAGUCGAGGAUCCUUGGCAUACAAUAUUGUGCGGGCAACCAAAACACAAUGGUCAAAGAGCGAAUGGCACAGGCCAGUUGGAGAAAAUGACCCACUGCAGUGUAGACGAUGCGCGCUGCGCGAGAUGUCACUGCAGCGCCGAUAGUGCACAGACACCGUGCAGUCCCCAUUACUUUAGCGCGGUAGGCUAGUCACAAAACUCAGACUAUGUAUGUAAACUACAUUUACUGACGGAUAAGUGCCUACAGGCCAGUCGGCGCAUGACAAAAGACGCGACUGCAGCACCGGUAGUUUCAGUGACGCCCAUUGCGGCCACGCCGGCCAGUGGGCUCGCAUAGGGAGCUGCGAAACUGAAGUACGUAUUGUCCAAGAACGUUGCCUCGGUCCACUGCGCCACCA